ACGGGGGGUGCGAGCGUUGUCCGGAAUCACUGGGCGUAAAGGGCGCGUAGGUGGCGUCGUAAGUCUGUGGUGAAAGCCCGGAGCUCAACUCCGGGUCUGCCGCGGAUACUGCGAGGCUUGAGUGCUGUAGAGGGGGGUAGAAUAUCGGGUGUAGCGGUGGAAUGCGUAGAGAUCCGAAGGAACACCGGUGGCGAAGGCGGCACGCUGGGUCCCUACUGACGCUGAGGCGCGAAAGCCAGGGGAGCGAACGGGA
RNAcentral lists this ribosomal RNA (253 nucleotides) under uncultured prokaryote. RNAcentral describes it as "partial 16S ribosomal RNA". It matches the Rfam family "Bacterial small subunit ribosomal RNA", at positions 525 to 777 of the family's 1533-position model. The record is from RNAcentral.